UCUAAAUGUUGAGGAUUCAGCAGUGAACACAUCAAGUAAGAAUUCCUGUCUUUUUGGAGCUUAACUUCAGCUGAGGGAAAGGGGAACAGCAACAAAUAAAUAGUUACACAGCGUGUUAGAUGAUAACUGCUGUGGUAACAGGUUUAAACCAUGGAGGAGGAGGAUUCCAAGCAGGGAACAGCUUGAGCUAAGGCCCUGAGGCAGGACUACACCUGUCCUGUUCCAAGAACAGCAAGGAAGCCAGUGAGCAAUGAAUGAGGAGCAAUGGGCUUCUCAACAGAAAUGCCGGCAUCUCAAAUUCUGAGGGAAGUCAUUUCCAGCCUGAAUUUUACACCCAGGCAAUUUUACACCCAGGGAGAUACAGUCAAGCGCUUCAGAACGUCAUUCCCGGAAGUGGUCCAGAGGAGAAGGUAAAUGUUAGGGUUAGGAAAAAGGAGUCCACUAAGACAUAAACCUUUUAGAAGUUAAAGAUCUCUGCAGUGAACACAAAAGGACACAGUCUUCAGCAAAGAGGGACAGGGAAUGACAGGCCGGGGGAGGCUGUUAGGCAGUUUCUCAAGUCUCCUCGUGGGAAGCUGGUUGCCCUGUGUGUUCCCUAGGGUUAUCUUCCUGUACUGCUCCUUGGUGCUGAGAGUGAUGAAAUGGAUGGAACACGAUGUGUUUGCACAUACUGGAAGGAAAGUUGCAUUUAUGACAAGAGGUUUGGGAAUGCAGCAGUGCUAAACACCUAGAAACCAAAGUAAAUUAUGUUUAAAAGAGCCAAAAGUAAAAAGUUAUGAGAAAGGAAAUGGAAUCAUAUUGCAUUAUAUGGCUUGGUUGAGAUCGGUGUCUACAUAGUCAUAAUAAUGUAGAUACUAAGUAUUAAUCUAACCUCAGAUAGUAACAUAAACCAUGUUGGGAGGAAGGGGAAUUGUGUAUAUAGUGUUUGUGUGUGUGAUGGGAGUGUUGAAGAAAUACAUCAAUAGCCAAUGCCUAAGACUGAAAAUAGGAGGAGAGCAGUGUUGGAGGAGUGCUUUCCAUGGGCAGGAAAACACCAAAAAUACCAACUGAAUUGGAACUGCUCACUUAUUGGGAGUUGGAAAGGAGGAGAUGUGGGGAACUGCAGGUUUUUGUAAAAAAAAAAAAAAAGUUCUAGAAAUAUUUGGCUUCUUCAACUAUGUCCAAAUAAAACUUUAAUUAAAAAAAUA
Long non-coding RNA from Bubalus bubalis (water buffalo), 1187 nucleotides. RefSeq lists it as uncharacterized. The transcript has 3 exons. NCBI's taxonomy places the organism in Eukaryota, Metazoa, Chordata, Mammalia, Artiodactyla, Bovidae. The record is from RefSeq and is a predicted model, not a curated record.